GGUACCGGGGGGGGGGGUUGGGAGUGUCGGGGGGGAUUGGGGUUACCCAGGGGGAGAUUUAGGGGGACCUGGGGGGCAAUUGGUGUCCCCAGGGUCUCAAUUGAUGUCCCCAGUGUCCCAAUUGGUGUCCCCAGUGUCCCAUUUAGGGGUCCCAAAGUUCCAGUUGGUGUCCCCAGUGUCCCAGCUGGGGGUCCCAGUGUCCAACUGGGGGUCCCAGUGACAGAACUGGGGGUCCCAGUGUCCCAACUGGUGUCCCCAGUGUCCCAGUUGGUGUCCCAGUGUCCCAGUUGGGUGUCCCCCUGUCCCAGUUG
Molecule: long non-coding RNA, 311 nt
Organism: Chiroxiphia lanceolata (lance-tailed manakin)
Lineage: Eukaryota; Metazoa; Chordata; Aves; Passeriformes; Pipridae
Exons: 3
Source: RefSeq, a predicted model, not a curated record